Molecule: ribosomal RNA, 273 nt
Filed under: uncultured bacterium
Lineage: Bacteria
Description: partial 16S ribosomal RNA
Rfam family: Bacterial small subunit ribosomal RNA
Source: RNAcentral
UACGAAGGGGGCUAGCGUUGUUCGGAAUCACUGGGCGUAAAGCGCACGUAGGCGGACUUUUAAGUCAGGGGUGAAAUCCCCGGGGCUCAACCCCCGGAACUGCCUUUGAUACUGGAAGUCUUGAGUCCGAGAGAGGUGAGUGGAACUCCGAGUGUAGAGGUGAAAUUCGUAGAUAUUCGGAAGAACACCAGUGGCGAAGGCGGCUCACUGGCUCGGUACUGACGCUGAGGUGCGAAAGCGUGGGGAGCAAACAGGAUUAGAUACCCGCGUAGU